Molecule: ribosomal RNA, 549 nt
Filed under: uncultured bacterium
Lineage: Bacteria
Description: partial 16S ribosomal RNA
Rfam family: Bacterial small subunit ribosomal RNA
Source: RNAcentral
UGGGGAAUUUUGGACAAUGGGCGAAAGCCUGAUCCAGCAAUGCCGCGUGUGUGAAGAAGGCCUUCGGGUUGUAAAGCACUUUUGUCCGGAAAGAAAUCCUUGGCUCUAAUACAGUCGGGGGAUGACGGUACCGGAAGAAUAAGCACCGGCUAACUACGUGCCAGCAGCCGCGGUAAUACGUAGGGUGCAAGCGUUAAUCGGAAUUACUGGGCGUAAAGCGUGCGCAGGCGGUUUGCUAAGACCGAUGUGAAAUCCCCGGGCUCAACCUGGGAACUGCAUUGGUGACUGGCAGGCUAGAGUAUGGCAGAGGGGGGUAGAAUUCCACGUGUAGCAGUGAAAUGCGUAGAGAUGUGGAGGAAUACCGAUGGCGAAGGCAGCCCCCUGGGCCAAAUACUGACGCUCAUGCACGAAAGCGUGGGGAGCAAACAGGAUUCAGAUACCCUGGUAGUCCACGCCCUAAACGAUGUCAACUAGUUGUUGGGGAUUCAUUUCCUUAGUAACGUAGCUAACGCGUGAAGUUGACCGCCUGGGGAGUACGGUCGCAAGAUU